Molecule: ribosomal RNA, 516 nt
Filed under: uncultured bacterium
Lineage: Bacteria
Description: bacterial SSU rRNA
Rfam family: Bacterial small subunit ribosomal RNA
Source: RNAcentral
UAGUCCACGCCGUAAACGAUGUCUACUAGCCGUUGGGGAACUUGAUUCCUUAGUGGCGCAGCUAACGCACUAAGUAGACCGCCUGGGGAGUACGGUCGCAAGAUUAAAACUCAAAUGAAUUGACGGGGGCCCGCACAAGCGGUGGAGCAUGUGGUUUAAUUCGAUGCAACGCGAAGAACCUUACCAAGACUUGACAUCCUGCGAAUUUACUAGAGAUAGUUUAGUGCCUUCGGGAACGCAGUGACAGGUGCUGCAUGGCUGUCGUCAGCUCGUGUUGUGAAAUGUUGGGUUAAGUCCCGUAACGAGCGCAACCCUUGUCCUUAGUUGCUACCAUUAAGUUGAGAACUCUAAGGAGACUGCCGGUGACAAACCGGAGGAAGGUGGGGACGACGUCAAGUCAUCAUGGCCCUUACGUCUUGGGCUACACACGUGCUACAAUGGUCGGUACAAAGAGUUGCCAAGCCGCGAGGUGGAGCUAAUCUCAUAAAACCGAUCGUAGUCCGGAUUGGAGUCUGC